GACUGGCUCAGGAUGAACGCUAGCUACAGGCUUAACACAUGCAAGUCGAGGGGCAGCAUGAACUUAGCUUGCUAAGUUUGAUGGCGACCGGCGCACGGGUGAGUAACACGUAUCCAACCUGCCGAUGACUCGGGGACAGCCUUUCGAAAGAAAGAUUAAUACCCGAUGGCAUAGUUCUUCCGCAUGGUGGAACUAUUAAAGAAUUUCGGUCAUCGAUGGGGAUGCGUUCCAUUAGGUUGUUGG
Molecule: ribosomal RNA, 243 nt
Filed under: uncultured bacterium
Lineage: Bacteria
Description: partial 16S ribosomal RNA
Rfam family: Bacterial small subunit ribosomal RNA
Source: RNAcentral